GAUUUUUAAUUUUUCCCGAAAAUGACGCGUUUUGAGCGUUUUUCGUGUUUUAGGAAUUUAUAACUGAAAACGUUCAAAAAACGAUAAAAAGUUUUUUUACGUUUUCAGUUAUAAAUUUUACUUCGUUUUCAAAAAUUCAUUUUCAAAAACGACAUACUAAACGCGUUUUUCGCGUUUUCGAAAACGGAAAAUGGUUCAAAAACGCCAAAUCAACGACAACCUAAAUAUUUUUAUAUUCUUGAAGAUAUUUUUAUUUUACUAUUUUCGGUGGCUGGGGAUAUUACAUUGAUGUAUAGGGAGUUUGCAUGUCUUGGAAAUUAGCGUUUGUUAGGUGUUGAUUAUAAGGAUUAAUUUUUUGAUCGUUAGUUUGAAAGUUGGAUCCCACCUGUAAGUGAAGAGAUCUAAAUGACCGCUGACUAUAUUAAGUAAUGAUUAAAAAAUUAAUUUUUUAACUUGAAAAAUCAGAAUCAAACGGGGGCUUAGAAUGAGCUGAACAUAAAUAAUGAAUAUAGCGGUUGGGG
Molecule: long non-coding RNA, 521 nt
Filed under: Olea europaea (common olive)
Lineage: Eukaryota; Viridiplantae; Streptophyta; Magnoliopsida; Lamiales; Oleaceae
Description: long non-coding RNA (OEUR_LNC000295)
Source: RNAcentral